GGAGGGAUGUCCGAGUGGUCGAUGGUGCCUGAUUCGAAAUCAGGUGUACCGAAAGGUACCAGGGGUUCGAAUCCCCUUUCCUCCGCCA
RNAcentral lists this transfer RNA (88 nucleotides) under Pseudomonadota bacterium. RNAcentral's name for it is "Proteobacteria bacterium tRNA-Ser". It matches the Rfam family "tRNA". From Rfam's summary of the family: Transfer RNA (tRNA) molecules are approximately 80 nucleotides in length. Their secondary structure includes four short double-helical elements and three loops (D, anti-codon, and T loops). Further hydrogen bonds mediate the characteristic L-shaped molecular structure. tRNAs have two regions of fundamental functional importance: the anti-codon, which is responsible for specific mRNA codon recognition, and the 3' end, to which the tRNAs corresponding amino acid is attached (by aminoacyl-tRNA synthetases). tRNAs cope with the degeneracy of the genetic code in two manners: having more than one tRNA (with a specific anti-codon) for a particular amino acid; and 'wobble' base-pairing, i.e. permitting non-standard base-pairing at the 3rd anti-codon position. The record is from RNAcentral. Lineage: Bacteria; Pseudomonadati; Pseudomonadota.